Molecule: long non-coding RNA, 2887 nt
Organism: Hippocampus comes (tiger tail seahorse)
Lineage: Eukaryota; Metazoa; Chordata; Actinopteri; Syngnathiformes; Syngnathidae
Exons: 2
Source: RefSeq, a predicted model, not a curated record
AGUAGCAGUUUGGCGGUAUAGAAAACGUGCCGCUAAUUAGAGUAAAUGGUGCCACAACAAGAGGAGGCAAAAGAAGGGGUCAGUAUUCUACAAGCUGCCAAAAGAAGAACCAAGGCAUAGCCGAUGGAUAGCAAAAAUAAACUAGCGAUCACACUGUUGAGUGACAGGUUUACUCUACAAAUCAUGGCAAAAGGUGGCUGAAUCAGCAGAUGCUAACAUACCCAAAAUAAUAGCCCAAGCUAGCUUCCCACCACACACAAAAUUUGCGGGAAAUAGUCUGUUUAAUUUAUGCCAUAAACAAUUCUUGUUUCUGUUGCUAUGGUUUCAUAGAUAAUACAGUGUUAAAUUUGAUAAUUGAUCAAUACUUCCUCUGGGAUAAAUGAUUGCGGUGGCUGCCGCCGAAUCUGCAGAUUCUAGCAUAGCUGAUAACAGUGCAAGGGCAGCGUGAAGCCUAGAUAGUAAUAUUGACCACACAUUAAGGGGAAAAACAAAUCCAGAUGUCACAACUUGUAAUUUUAGAUCCGGCCACGGCAUUCUCCCUACCUCUCAUCGCGAUAGGAAAAAAAAACCCACUCCUGCCGGCAGCUUCAUAGAUCAGUAAUAUAUACUAUCCUGUCCAUGUUUGUCAUGUCCUUUUCAUCAAACUGAGAUGUGAAUCGAAUCGGACGAAAUGUAGACAGAUAAACACUUUUAGCGCUGCUCUCUAUUGUUAGUCUUUGGCAUGCUGCCGCAACUGUACUGACAUUGCGGCUGCGUAAACACAUACAAAGGGGACUAGUCGGGUGACAUCCAGAGUUCUAUUGCACACCACCCACAAAUCAGUCAAUGAACAGUUGUUACCACUUGGCACACUCGUGCCGCUUUUCCAUUAGUCCCAAACAAUCCCACACAACACUCCGAGCUCACUAACAUUCAUUUGACUGCCCGUGCAAGUUAACGGGUCGAGGUCUUUACUCUGCGGCGUCUGAAGCCGGUUGGCGGUUGCCCAAAACCGCCAUCUCCGAGGCGGGAGCCACAACCGUUGGGUUGGGGAAACGGUGACGUUCCGCUCUGGCUGCAGGAGACCUCUCAUUCAAGAGAAUGGGACCCACUGUGUGAAAGUAGCCAUUUCUGCCCAACUGCAAAAUCAAAGUGUUUCACUUGUUGCUGCUCUGAGAAACUGGCUGUGUUUAAUCUUCAGGGGCGGUACGGGGUGGUUCCUCAUUUUGCGACGUAGAAAAGUGAGGAUGUAAUUGUUUUCUUGGAUUGGGCAGAGCGGUCGCUGAGAGGUGGAAUGAGCAGGAAUGCUCAGAGAUGGGGGAAUCGAGGAAACCACCACCAUGGCAGUGUUUUUUGGUGAGGAAUUCCUAUUUUAACAUGGCGAAAAGCUGUAUAAAGUUGAUUUAGCGUGAUGUGUCCUCUCUAAAGGGAGAGAUUGCAGUUUUAAAAUUGCAACCUCAUUUCACUUGACUAAGAUGUCCCCUCAUCGAGUCUCUGACACAAGCCACAGGGUCCUCACUUUUGUGCACAAGAGGAGCACUGUCUUGUGUGCUCCAAACAAGCCUACAUUAGCCCUGUCUGUUACUAUGCUAGCAUUACUUAUUCAAAAUAGCGUUACGAUAACACUAAUCAUUAUCGGUUUCAGGUUUUGUUUUUUUUUUUUGUAGAUUGUGGUCCAGCUUUUCAUUAUGAGCCUGAGUAUCGGGACAGAUUUGUCUCAAAAUGAUUCACUCAACUAUAUUUGUUUUCUUUCACGUGUUUUUGAGAUCCACAAAUAUGUCAGUGAUUUUCAAGUUUUUGAGAUCCGCAAAUGCUGUAUAUGCGCGAUAUUGACAUGUUUUUUGAAAUCCACAAAUAUACGUGCGAUUUUCAUGUUUUUCAAGUCCACAAAUAUUUGCACAAUUUACAUGUUAAUGUUGUAUGAGCAUUUAUCAUGACUUGUCCUUUGUAAAUAUUCAGUUCCACUUGUGAAUUGUUGAAUGUGCGUUUGUGGAUCAGCGUGCAUGCUCGUUGAUUUUGAAACAAACGUUUUACACAGUUUUAAGGUACUCAGACACACACACACACACACACACACAACAGUUGAAAAUAUUUGCAUGUGUUGAAACGCUAUUCCUUCUCCAUCCGCCAGAAGGCAGUGUUGCUGUUUCCAGUGAGCCGGAAUGAGGCAUCGCCUGUAUCGCUUCUAUAAAUUGGAAAUUGAAACACGGAAAACAUGCUUUUAUCUGGUCUACGCAUUGCAGGAAGCACAGGAUAGUGCCAUCGACUGUCGUCAGCGGGGUCUAAGUGAAGUAAACAAUUCAUUGUGUACAAUGGACUCGAGUUACAUCCUUCUUAAAGGAAACAAAAGGCUGGCGCUCAAGGGAUGCAAUGUGAUUGUGGAUAAAAUUGCCAGAAUCUUCCAGGUAUGUACCACUUUAUUUUCUCCAUUGGCUUGGAGUACAUGCUAAAAUGAGCAGUUGCUGUUGUAUUCCAAAGGGUGUGGGUGUGUGUGUGUGUGUCUGUGUGUGGGGGUGGGGCGGGGGGGGGGGGAUUGAACCCACAUGUGCUCGUUUACGUGAUCUCUUGUGUUACCCAAUCAGCUCCCUCUUCCAAUUAGUACCUUGCAGAAAAACUAGUUGCUAAUUGGGUCACGCUCUGUUGCACUGAUUGGUUAGACAAGCUGUGAACAAAAAACAAAAUAAACGGCCACAAAAUAUCGUGAGCCGUUUAAAAGCUAAACCCAAGGCUGUAUAUCCAAAUCACCUCAUUCAUUCAUUUUUAUUUUUAUUUCAGGCAAUAAUAAAAGCAACAGCCAGUGUCAUAUUCCAACAAAUUCUAAUCACAAAUGAGGAAAUUGGUAACAAAAAGUUAAUAUCCCUGAAAGGGCAUCGGAAGAACAUUUAUUUAAUCAACUAUCAUUAAAAAA